RNAcentral lists this ribosomal RNA (550 nucleotides) under Cladosporium cladosporioides. RNAcentral's name for it is "eukaryotic LSU rRNA". The stretch from base 186 to 339 matches the Rfam family "5.8S ribosomal RNA". The record is from RNAcentral. Lineage: Eukaryota; Fungi; Ascomycota; Dothideomycetes; Cladosporiales; Cladosporiaceae. RNAcentral also lists the same sequence under 1 other name.
UCCGUAGGUGAACCUGCGGAGGGAUCAUUACAAGUGACCCCGGUUUACCACCGGGAUGUUCAUAACCCUUUGUUGUCCGACUCUGUUGCCUCCGGGGCGACCCUGCCUUCGGGCGGGGGCUCCGGGUGGACACUUCAAACUCUUGCGUAACUUUGCAGUCUGAGUAAACUUAAUUAAUAAAUUAAAACUUUUAACAACGGAUCUCUUGGUUCUGGCAUCGAUGAAGAACGCAGCGAAAUGCGAUAAGUAAUGUGAAUUGCAGAAUUCAGUGAAUCAUCGAAUCUUUGAACGCACAUUGCGCCCCCUGGUAUUCCGGGGGGCAUGCCUGUUCGAGCGUCAUUUCACCACUCAAGCCUCGCUUGGUAUUGGGCAACGCGGUCCGCCGCGUGCCUCAAAUCGACCGGCUGGGUCUUCUGUCCCCUAAGCGUUGUGGAAACUAUUCGCUAAAGGGUGCUCGGGAGGCUACGCCGUAAAACAACCCCAUUUCUAAGGUUGACCUCGGAUCAGGUAGGGAUACCCGCUGAACUUAAGCAUAUCAAUAAGCGGAGGA